RNAcentral lists this ribosomal RNA (311 nucleotides) under Clostridioides difficile. Its description in RNAcentral is "bacterial LSU rRNA". It matches the Rfam family "Bacterial large subunit ribosomal RNA", at positions 1189 to 1505 of the family's 2925-position model. Lineage: Bacteria; Bacillati; Bacillota; Clostridia; Peptostreptococcales; Peptostreptococcaceae. The record is from RNAcentral.
UACUACCGAAGCUACGGCAUCAGUAAUGAUGGGUAGGGGAGCUUCCCAUACGGGUUGAAGCAUGACCGUAAGGACAUGUGGACAGUAUGGGAGUGAGAAUGUUGGCAUGAGUAGCGAGAUGUGGGUGGGAAUCCCACAGGCCGUAAACCCAAGGUUUCCAGGGGAAGGUUCGUCCACCCUGGGUUAGUCGGGACCUAAGCUGAGGCCGAAAGGCGUAGGUGAUGGACAACAGGUUGAUAUUCCUGUACUACCGAUAACCGUUUGAGAGAAGGGAUGACACAGUAGGAUAAGCUAAGCACCCUGUUGGUUAU